Leopardus geoffroyi (Geoffroy's cat) is the source of this 273-nucleotide long non-coding RNA. RefSeq lists it as uncharacterized. The record is from RefSeq and is a predicted model, not a curated record. NCBI's taxonomy places the organism in Eukaryota, Metazoa, Chordata, Mammalia, Carnivora, Felidae. The transcript is spliced from 2 exons.
UCGAGACCGCCCCCUCAUCCGGCUGGUCGGAGUUGGCGGGGCGGGGCGCCAAUGCCAGGGAACCCUUACAAGGGCCGCGAGGCCUUGCUGGAUGUGGUGACCGCAGAGCUGGGGCGGCCUCGACUUUGGUCGUGGUCGGGGUCCUGUAAGUGUUCCGGUCCUAGUUAUCUUGAACUGGAACUUGUUUCUCCGAAGAGGCCUCUGCCUGUUGAAAUCUCAAGCAUUUGGCGUGCCUUCUAGUAAGCCGUUAAUAAAUACAGGAAGCAUAGUUUA